Molecule: ribosomal RNA, 274 nt
Filed under: uncultured bacterium
Lineage: Bacteria
Description: partial 16S ribosomal RNA
Rfam family: Bacterial small subunit ribosomal RNA
Source: RNAcentral
AGACGUAGGGGGCGAGCGUUGCUCGGAAUCACUGGGCUUAAAGGGCGCGUAGGCGGUUAUGCAAGUCCAGGGUAGAAGGCGGAGGCUCAACCUCCGUAAUGCCUUGGAGACUGCAUAACUUGAGUAAGCGAGGGGAGGGCGGAAUUCCCGGUGUAGCUGUGAAAUGCUUAGAUAUCGGGAGGAAGGCCUGUGGCGAAGGCGGCCCUCUGGCGCUUAACUGACGCUGAGGCGCGAAAGCGUGGGGAGCAAACAGGAUUAGAUACCCUAGUAGUCC